GUAUGGUAUUGGCUUACCGUGGCAGUGACGGUUAACGGGGGAUUAGGGUUCGAUUCCGGAGAGGGAGCCUGAGAAACGGCUACCACAUCUAAGGAAGGCAGCAGGCGCGCAAAUUACCCAAUUCUAACAGUUUGAGAGAGGUAGUAACAAGAAAUAACAAUACAAGGCAAUUAAAAUGCUUUGUAAUUGGAAUGAUAGAAAUUUAAACCCUUUUUAAAGUAUCAAUUGGAGGGCAAGUCUGGUGCCAGCAGCCGCGGUAAUUCCAGCUCCAAUAGCGUAUAUUAAAAUUGUUGCAGUUAAAAAGCUCGUAGUUGAAGUUCUGCUAAAAGUAACCGGUCUGCUUUUAAUAAAAGUGGUAUCUUGGUGUGUAUUUAGCAAUGAUGUCCUUUGAAG
RNAcentral lists this ribosomal RNA (393 nucleotides) under Hepatozoon canis. RNAcentral describes it as "bacterial SSU rRNA". It matches the Rfam family "Eukaryotic small subunit ribosomal RNA", at positions 328 to 715 of the family's 1831-position model. The record is from RNAcentral. Lineage: Eukaryota; Apicomplexa; Hepatozoidae.